RNAcentral lists this long non-coding RNA (672 nucleotides) under Parus major (Great Tit). RNAcentral describes it as "lncRNA (ENSPMJG00000011949.1)". The record is from RNAcentral. Lineage: Eukaryota; Metazoa; Chordata; Aves; Passeriformes; Paridae.
GAGUGAGACACCCAAAAAUGCCCCUCAGAGGGGGAGCCUGACCCCAGGAGACACCCAGGACACAGAGAGGAGACCCUGAGUCUUCAGAAAACAUUUUAUCAGAUCCCAGCCCUGCCAAGCUCCUCAGCUCACGCUGCCUUUCAACACACCCGGCUGGCUCCAAGGACACUUAAACCAGUGACGGGAAUGUGACGUCCUUCUCUGAGAGGGACAACACUUGGGAAGCACGAAGAGCCCCCAGCUGCAGCUGACUCACAAUUAUUCUGCUCUGAAACUGCUCUGUGGUAUUUUUUGGAGCUGUUAACAUCCCAUUAAAAGUGUCCUGUUGAGCAGAGCUGGCUGGCAGGGAGCAGGGAGGGUGCAGGCCUGGAAGGAACCGCAGCUUUCCCGUUAUGCCUCAGGCAGCACGAAAUAAGCCCCUGGUUACCAGGGAGCUCCUGGCAGCGUUAGGAGGAUGCCCUUGGCACUGUGGUCCCCAAGCCAGGGAGAAGGGGACUCCCUGGGACACUCCUGCUGUGCUGACAGCAUUCCCAAGGGAUGGGAUCACACCUUGCAUCCCAGAGGAAUGUCCCCAGCAGCACAGGCAGGGCUGGCCCUUUCCUGACCUGUGCCAAACCUCGGUCAAAUCCAUGACCCAAGAGCUGAACCAAAACCCUCCAGCACCAAAGCGCC